RNAcentral lists this ribosomal RNA (253 nucleotides) under uncultured bacterium. RNAcentral's name for it is "partial 16S ribosomal RNA". It matches the Rfam family "Bacterial small subunit ribosomal RNA", at positions 524 to 776 of the family's 1533-position model. The record is from RNAcentral.
UACGAAGGGGGCUAGCGUUGCUCGGAAUCACUGGGCGUAAAGCGCACGUAGGCGGCUUCUUAAGUCCGGGGUGAAAUCCUGGAGCUCAACUCCAGAACUGCCUUUGAUACUGAGAAGCUUGAGUCCGGGAGAGGUGAGUGGAACUGCGAGUGUAGAGGUGAAAUUCGUAGAUAUUCGCAAGAACACCAGUGGCGAAGGCGGCUCACUGGCCCGGUACUGACGCUGAGGUGCGAAAGCGUGGGGAGCAAACAGG